CUCCAGACUCCUACGGGAGGCAGCAGUGGGGAAUAUUGCACAAUGGGGGAAACCCUGAUGCAGCGACGCCGCGUGAAGGAAGAAGUAUCUCGGUAUGUAAACUUCUAUCAGCAGGGAAGAAAACAGACGGUACCUGACUAAGAAGCCCCGGCUAACUACGUGCCAGCAGCCGCGGUAAUACGUAGGGGGCAAGCGUUAUCCGGAUUUACUGGGUGUAAAGGGAGCGUAGACGGCAGUGCAAGUCCGGAGUGAAAGCCCGGGGCUCAACCCUGGGACUGCUCUGGAAACUGUAAAGCUGGAGUGCGGGAGGGGCAGGCGGAAUUCCUGGUGUAGCGGUGAAAUGCGUAGAUAUCAGGAGGAACACCGGCGGCGAAGGCGGCCUGCUGGACCGCGACUGACGUUGAGGCUCGAAAGCGUGGGGAGCAAACAGGAUUAGAUACCCUCGUAA
RNAcentral lists this ribosomal RNA (448 nucleotides) under uncultured bacterium. Its description in RNAcentral is "bacterial SSU rRNA". It matches the Rfam family "Bacterial small subunit ribosomal RNA", at positions 329 to 793 of the family's 1533-position model. The record is from RNAcentral.